This 204-nucleotide ribosomal RNA is filed under the name Enterococcus faecium. RNAcentral describes it as "partial 16S ribosomal RNA". It matches the Rfam family "Bacterial small subunit ribosomal RNA", at positions 1 to 188 of the family's 1533-position model. Lineage: Bacteria; Bacillati; Bacillota; Bacilli; Lactobacillales; Enterococcaceae. The record is from RNAcentral.
UUUUUAUGAGAGUUUGAUCCUGGCUCAGGACGAACGCUGGCGGCGUGCCUAAUACAUGCAAGUCGAACGCUUCUUUUUCCACCGGAGCUUGCUCCACCGGAAAAAGAGGAGUGGCGAACGGGUGAGUAACACGUGGGUAACCUGCCCAUCAGAAGGGGAUAACACUUGGAAACAGGUGCUAAUACCGUAUAACAAUCAAAACCG